CCGACGGUGAGAGAUGAAAGCUGGGGGAGCAAACCGGAUUAGAUACCCGGGUAGUCCCAGCUGUAAACGAUGCGCGUUAGGUGUGUCAGUGACCACGUGUCACUGAUGUGCCGAAGGGAAACCGUGAAACGCGCCGCCUGGGGAGUACGGUCGCAAGGCUGAAGCUUAAAGGAAUUGGCGGGGGAGCACCACAACGGGUGGAGCCUGCGGUUUAAUCGGACUCAACGCCGGAAAUCUCACCGGAUAA
This 247-nucleotide ribosomal RNA is filed under the name uncultured archaeon. RNAcentral's name for it is "partial 16S ribosomal RNA". It matches the Rfam family "Archaeal small subunit ribosomal RNA", at positions 691 to 937 of the family's 1478-position model. The record is from RNAcentral.